CCUACGGGUGGCAGCAGUCGAGAAUCAUUCACAAUGGGGGAAACCCUGAUGGUGCGACGCCGCGUGGGGGAAUGAAGGUCUUCGGAUUGUAAACCCCUGUCAUGUGGGAGCAAAUUAAAAAGAUAGUACCACACGAGGAAGAGACGGCUAACUCUGUGCCAGCAGCCGCGGUAAUACAUAGGUCGCAAGCGUUGUUCGGAAUCACUGGGCGUAAAGGGUGCGUAGGCGGUUUCGUAAGUCGGGUGUGAAAGGCGCGGGCUCAACCCGCGGACUGCACAAGAUACUGCGAGACUAGAGUAAUGGAGGGGGAACCGGAAUUCUCGGUGUAGCAGUGAAAUGCGUAGAUAUUGAGAGGAACACUAGUGGCGAAGGCGGGUUCCUGGACAGUAACUGACGCUGAGGCACGAAGGCCAGGGGAGCGUAAGGGAUUAGAUACCCGGGUAGUC
RNAcentral lists this ribosomal RNA (446 nucleotides) under uncultured bacterium. Its description in RNAcentral is "partial 16S ribosomal RNA". It matches the Rfam family "Bacterial small subunit ribosomal RNA", at positions 338 to 795 of the family's 1533-position model. The record is from RNAcentral.